Molecule: long non-coding RNA, 5562 nt
Organism: Halichondria panicea
Lineage: Eukaryota; Metazoa; Porifera; Demospongiae; Suberitida; Halichondriidae
Exons: 2
Source: RefSeq, a predicted model, not a curated record
AUAGCCCCUCCUAUUAUUUCGGAUACCAACUGGGUGUUGUGCAAGUAUGAUCCUCUAAAACUGAAAAGCUUCAGGAUAGUGAGAGAGGAUUUCCUAUGCAAGAAAGGAGAGUUGAUAGCAAAGUAGAAAAGACAUCCACCUCAGGCUCAGAGGAGGUUUGACUCUCAUCUGUGGCCAAAAGGACAUUCAGGUUAGUAUAACGACGAUAGCCAGACCACCGCACCCCAUAGCUGGACCAGAUAGGUUCCGAUCAGGUAUGUUAACAAAACAGCAAAUAAGUGCCUAUUUUCGUAUGACGGGAAAUUUGGUUAGCGUUUUAAUUUGACGAUUUGGCUAAUUUUACCGAAUUCACCAAUAAUUAUAUUAAAACUAAGUAGCAGACGCAUGCAUGUCAUUGACAUAGAAGCCACGCAUGAGAGGCAAAAAUUGUCAAUUUGGUUCAAAUGGCUUAUCGUAUAGUGGGAUAAUUUCGGAAAUUUCGAAAUUGAAAGCUACGAAAUUAUUCUACCGCAAUAGGUUCAACGUCCCUAUCUUACGGUGGCCCUGAGUGCUACACAUAGUUGACAGUUUAUACUUGAUAGUUUAAACAUAUAGUUGGCACUUUGCAGUUGCUACUUGAUAGCUCAAACGCCUAGUUGCUAGUUGCUAGUUGCUAGUUGGCAGUUGGUAGAUAGUUGGCAGUUGACAGUUGGUAGUUCGUGACCUUUAAACUUUGCAACGACUAAUGCGCCCACUUCAUAAAUUAUUCUAGAUUUGUUUCUCUAAGCCUUCAUUGAUAGGGGAAACCCUACUUAAUGUAUAGCGGACACACGUUAGUGCCGUCUGAUGCCAGCAAAGACUAUAUAUGUUCGACGCCAGUUAGCAAAUGUUGUAUGUAGAUCUUUGCACUGCCUCUAAUCUUUCAGCCAUAAAAUUAACCAAAAUUUGAGUAGAAUCCAAGAUAUUAAAAUUAUGAUACUGACACCGGCUGGCCCAUAAUAAUUGUGCUAAGAUAUCUAUAGCUGGCGUAAGGCGACAAUAAUGUGUGUUUUAAUAAUUAUGUCUACACAUCUAGGUAGGGAGGCAAUUUCAAGUCUAAUCCCCAUGCACCUAUAUUCCCGGCAGGGGGGGGGAAUUAUAGAAACAAGUUUUGUAUGGCAUCUAGAUAAUUCAGAUUAAUUAAUAAAGUUUAAAGGUCACGAAUAUUACCAUCUGCCAACUACGCGUUUGAACUAUCAAGUAGCAACUGUGAACUAGCAACUACGCAUUUGAACUAUCAAGUACGAACUAUCAACUAUGAGUAGCACUCGAGGCCACCGUACACAUUGAGCUGUAUGAAUAUUUAAAAUACGAAAUAUUUAAUUAGGCAGCUUAUACGAAAAUGUGCACCAACGAAAAUAUACUCGCUAUACAGUAUUUGCCAAAUAUUAAUACUCUCCGUUAUACGGUACAUACAGACAUAAUUAUUUGUGUGUGGGCGCGUGCAUUCCUUCUUAGCAUGGAGGUAAACUAUGUCUAGACAGGUAGCUCCCAUGUUGAAAUACAAUAUGUACAUGGGGUGGAUGAAGCUCAAAAAUGAGCCAAUUAAUAGCAUCAGAGACACAUUGUGUUAGUCCAAAUUCGAAGUACAUGCAGGUAUAAUUAAUUAUUUUUUAUCAGUUAGCUAGUACAGUAGAACCUCGAUUAUCCGGCCCUCCAUUAUCCGGAACCUCGAUUAUCCGGCUUGGCAGUUUUCAGAUUAAAUAAUUCAGAAAAUGGGCGUGUCCCUAAAAUGCGCAUGCGCGUUGCAGCUGUUACCAUGGAGACAUGCCUGCUUAUCUUCUGCGCAUGCGCAGACAACCAUGCGGCACUGCUGUUUAUCAAUAAAGUGGGUGGAUCAAGGCGUGGUUUAUCUAUUCGAUUAUCCGGCAUAUUCACUUAUCCGGCCUGCUUCUGGGACCAAGGUGUCCGGAUAAUCGAGGUUCUACUGUAUGUGCUUCUGUUUUGUAUCAAUUACUUUAUUAUGAAAAUAACUAUAUAUAUGUACAUGAACACCAAUAGCUGUUGGAGCAUUCUACCAGGUUUGGUUUUCGUCAGCAAGAUCACAAUAAGAUGACUUUUGUCUAGUUUCAAUAUUGAUAUAAUUAUAUAUAUGUACAUGAACACCAAUAGCUGUUGGAGCAUUCUACCAGGUUUGGUUUUCGUCAGCAAGAUCACAAUAAGAUGACUUUUGUCUAGUUUCAAUAUUGAUAUAAUUAUAUAUAUGUACAUGAACACCAAUAGCUGUUGGAGCAUUCUACCAGGUUUGGUUUUCGUCAGCAAGAUCACAAUAAGAUGACUUUUAUCUAGUUUCAAUAUUGAUAUUUGCGAUCAUCGAAUUCAUUAAACUCGCAAAGUAUACGCAUAAUUAUGUUUGAUGACUGCAAAACAUAGUAGCAUGGGAGUGUUACAUAACUAGCAGGUCAUCUAUCACGGGAAAUGCAGGGCUAAUGAUAGUCAGGCACAGGUGCUGAUUCUGUGAGAUGACCCUGAGUGGGUGGAUGACAACCAGUACAUAUAUAAUAAUGUAGCUUGCAUUAUGGGAAAUUAAAGCAAUACUUUUAAUGGGCAAGCAUGGGAGUGUUUACAUAACUAGCAGGUCAUCUAUCACGGGGAAUCCAGGGCUAAUGAUAGUCAGGCGCACAGGUGCUGAUUCUGUGAGAUGACCCUGAGUGGGUGGAUGACAACCAGUACAUAAUCAUUUAUGUAUGUAAUUGACUAGAUGUGCGUACUAGUGGAAGGGGUUAUAGUCUCUGUCAGUGUGUUUGUUGGUUUUCUGUAAUACAGCCUCAAUAUUGUGGUAGAUCGCAAUCAACAUAUACCUCUUCACCUCUUCUAAUAGUUUUGAGCGAAAGUAAAACAACAGCGAGAGGCGCUAGCACAGCGCAGCUUGCACCACUUGUUAUGUCAUUGUUUAUUGACUCUUCUGUGAUCAUACGUACAUGUAGGUAUAGACCUAGCCAUGGCGCAUGGGUAAGGUUCAAAUAUAUAUAAGGAAACAAUACUUGUACAGUGAUGUACAACACUAAUCUCAGAACUGCACCUCAGGCCAAGCUUGAUGUAUCCGGAGAGAGACAGAGUAUGUAACUGCCUUGGGUCUUAACCCUCGAGUUAAUAAACAAGGCACUUAUACAUGACUGUGCGGCACAACACUGAUAGUCUCCAUAUCACAGAUCUUGCUGGUCCUGUCCUCUGAGGGAGUGAGCACUUGCUUUGCUGUCAGGGCUCCACGCAGCUCAGCUGCAAAGAGAAAAACUGACAUGUAUAUAUACCUGUGUUGUUUUAACUUGUGCUUCAAUUGUCCUACCAAUCCAUGUACAGUGUGUAAAACUAUUCCAAUUCCACCAAACAACUACAUGUGUACAGUGCAUUAUUGUAGUGUUCGUAAACCGGGUUAAAUGCGACGCUCUUUCAAAUUACGAGUUUUCACGCAAAUCACAAAUAAAAAACAUAAAGGUAAUUGUUAGAAAUGCAAUAGGGCUUGGGUAUACAGUGUCAUUGGCAAAGAUACGCAUUCAAAACCAGGUACAAGGCAAGAGGCCUUCUGCAUACCCCAGAUUGAGCUUUCUAAGAGCUACGAAAUAACUCUUACUGUACUAGAUUUUCGAGGUUUUUGAGGAUUAACCUCGAACCUUGAAUUUUAGUGCCUCGAAAAUUGGUUUACUUUCGGUUAGAAGACUGUAGGGGUGUGGUCAUUCGAACCUCUAUCUUCGAAAAUAAAAUGUGCAAAAUGUUUAGUUUGAGCAAUUUGUGCCUACUAUAUAUUUCAUUAGCUACACUGUAUUAGUUCUGUGCAACUAGACAUAACUUUGGGAAUUUGAGACCAAGUGAAAUUGAUCAACCCAUAUAUAGUUAUAAGAUUCCUACGAGUAGGGGAGUGAGAGUGAAGAGUGAGAGUGAAGUAAUGCAAAUUACAGUUUGCAUUUUUCACUCAUAGAUAUUAGCCUCGAGACCAGGCCGUUCGUUGUCUGAAAGAACCCCUGGUCAAGUUCCAAUGUAGAACUCGUCUAGCUAAGUCAGCGAGUGGUUAGGCUCGAGUAGUUGUGAGCAUAAUUGCAGUAACCGCAAACACAACAAUACUAUAGCCAGCUGAACGUUACUGUAAGCAUCAUAAUGAUAUUCACGGGUAAGUAUGGUUGUUGUGGGCAAUUAUGGUCCAAGAAAUUCCUGGACCAACAACUUCUACAUUGGAACUUGACCAGGCGUUCUUUCAAACAACGAAUGGCCUGCAUGGUCUCGAGGCUACAUAGAUAUAAUUAUAUGCAUGGGGUUCCUAUGAGGGGGUGGGGGUGAACCAGUACGUAUAGGUAUAGUCCUAACAUCUAGAACCCUCCUGAUCAUGAGCCAUAAUUUAUAUGACUACAAGCACACAUACGUACGUACUAUACACACGUACACACAACUGGCACACAGAUAUACACACACAAAGUACAGUUGCAUGCAUAAUUAUGGGACCCAUGCUUCCAUGCAUGCAGUGAGCCUAUAUAUAUAUAUAUAUAGGCUGCAUGUCUCCAUGCAGACUUAUAAUUAUAGUAACCUUCUGUAGGUCUUGCUCUCUCAAACUUUGAUUUUAAUUUUCCCAAUUUAAUGACGUAGUCUACAUGCUAUAAAGACACACCCAUCAUGAUUGUUGUAACUUCUGACUCUAGCUUCCAGGGUGGUUUUCCUCUUCAGCUGCAGCCUCCUAUUAUGAAAAAUCAGGCAGGGCUUCAUUUUAGCAUGCAUAGACUCACAUCACUAGGUAUUCACUCCAAUGUACAGUAGACACACACUAACUAUACUGUUCACAAUAUUAAACGAAUGUAAUUUACUAGACUAUAAAAGCUGGAUAAUCUACAAUGAAUUUAGAAGCGUCACAAAGCUAAAACAGUUAAAAUAAACAUGAGUUUCAACGUCCUAUGCUUGUUCCCAGAUCCUGAUGCAACAGUCAUGGCCACAGCUUGCAAACUGCUUGUCGUUAAUCCAACAAACUCCGGACACGAUAGAAAGAGGAUGGGCACCUAGAAAGAAUAUACAGCAAUGAACACUAGCGAUAUAAGCCAAUUUUGAUUGUAGAAAUACUCAGGGCUUCGAAAAAGUAUUACCUGAGAAUUUAGAAAAGACAGCUAGAACUUCAAAUGGAAAUAGCUACAAGUAUUGUUCAUACAUACAACAUUUUAUUCCAGGAAGCUUACCUUUGAUCAUCUCAAUUCUUUCACCCUUGACUGGGUCCCAGACAAUGAUGCUGGUAUCAAUUGACCCGGAUACAAUCUGGGAGGAGUCUUGCGACCAGUCUAGAGACAUGACUCGUGCGGAGUGAAAGACGAGUCUCUUCUUCUCCUGCAACAUGGUGAAACGUGAUUAGCUCGUACAUUCAUAAAUGGGCAGUACGAUAGUGAAAUACGAUCAACAAUUAAGAGUACUAACUGUAUAACGGUGUACCUGAUAGUUGGCAGCAUCGAACACAACAAUGCUUUUGCCAGAAGUUAUGGCAACCGAUUUUCCAUCGGGGGAAUAUGCAAUAACUGUGAUCUGUUCCCCAACACUGAGUGUUGUCUUUGCAGAAAGGGUGUCACCGUUUACAGU